GCGAGGAGCGGAUCGAGCACGAGGAUUGGUGGUGUCCUCUCUGGUGCAGACUUCCUGCUCCGGAGGUCUCGUUACAAGCUCAGAAAAAUGAAGAGCUGUGACUAAAGGGAGAGCUUUCAGAAGAAUAGGAGAGUCUGGCCCCUGGCCUUUCUCCUCAGCCCUUCCUGGAUUCCAGUGGCCCUUCCUCUCUCCUGGGAACAAAGAAAGAUGGAAAAGCCCACGGGCAAAAAGAAGGCACAGACCCCAAAGGAAGAAGGAGAUUUGCUAAAGGACACUCCCAAAGGAGAGAAAGCAUCUGGGGAGAAAAAGGCAAACAAGAGGUCCACCUUGGCGAAAAAGUACAGCAAGGAAGCCAGCCUGAGUCCUGAAGAAGAACACGUAUUUGAUGCCUUUGAUGCUUCGUUUAAAGAUGACUUUGAGGGGGUUCCCGUGUUCAUUCCUUUUCAGAGAAAGAAGCCCUAUGAGUGUAGCGAGUGUGGACGCGUCUUCAAGCACAAGACAGACCACCUUCGCCACCAGAGGGUUCACACGGGAGAGAAACCCUUCAAGUGUGAGGAGUGUGGGAAGAUGUUCAGGCACAGCUCCGAUGUCACCAAACACCAGAGAAUCCACACUGGAGAGAAGCCCUUUAAAUGCAGCGAGUGCGGGAAGGCCUUUAACUGCGGCUCCAAUCUCCUAAAACAUCAGAAGACGCACACUGGAGAGAAGCCGUAUGAGUGCAAGGAAUGUGGGAAAACCUUUGCCUACAGCUCAUGUCUCAUUCGCCAUCGGAAGCGCCACCCACGGAAGAAGCACUGAGCGCGGGGAAGCUAUCUGCCGAGACGCGGUGUUUGUGCUGAUGGGAGCUGUCCCUCCUUCAGCAUGUGAUCGAUGCUGGGGGUCCGUGAGCUCAGCGCACCUGUGCCCGGGCAUCCCCCUCAUCAUCAGGAAAAUCAACCCAGUGGGGUAAGCAAGUGCUUGAGCAUGGUAAAGACCUUUCUGGUCCAGAGCAUGGUAAAGACCUUUCUGGUCCAGAGCAUCUCUGGAUCAAGUGAUAAUGUGGGAGGGGCUUGUGGCACUGGAGACUCUGGGGAUAUCGACAGCUGUCUGUGGGGCUCGCGAGGCAGCGGCUGCUUGUGAGCGGCCCAGCGCCUCCCUCUGUGGCCUCCGCCUGUGGUGUCCACUGUGGUUUCAGCCCUCUCACCUGCUCCUUUGAAGACUUGAGUCUGCAGACUCUUUACCUGCCGGGUCAUCCCUGCACAGCCUGGCAGGAGGCCCACGGCCCUGAGCUAGGUAGCAGUACUCUGUGGUCGCGCCCACAGCGCUGCACCAGACACCUGCUGUCCCCACUCGGCUGGCCAUGGUGACAGUGGUUUGUGCUCUGGCUUCCCUCCUCGGGCUGCGGUGCCAGCACCAUGCCCCACCCCAUCCCCAGGAACUGCACCCUUUGUGCAUCCCCCUGGCCUAGCCCCCAUCCCAGGUGAGUGGCCUGACUCACCCAGGUGGAUCGCUCGGGACCUACAUACUGCCACCGUGGGAGAUUCCCGCCCUGGACACGUGGUGGAGUCCCCAAGGAUGUGAGCACAGCUUCGAGCCAGGCUGCAUCUGCCAUGGGGGUCUUCAGACAUGAGGCAGUGCGCCCUGCCCCCUGGGGAUCGGCUCUCCAGGUAAUUCUUGUCCUUUUCUGGCGUGAGAGCAGAUCACCCCAGUCAAGAAGUUCCUGAUGAAAUGUGCCUAGAAGUGAACCUCCCAACUAACCCAACUGCCCCAGUCCUGAGCCCUGAGGAGGAGAGCCCCGUGAAGGCAGCAAACUCCCCGAGCUCGAACUCCUGGUGGGGCCUUCCCCAACCUCUCCAAAGGCCACAGAAUUCACACCUCUCGCCCCCGCCCACCCAGGAGGGCAAUGCUGACGCCACCCAGCCUUCUAGGAAAGCACUGCAGGCUGAAACCCCACAGGCAACAUCAACAACUUUCCCAGCGUCCUGGGGAUGUCCCAGAGAAAUGCCUUUUCCAAAUAGGAAACCUUUAGGACGCCCCGCUGAGCAUGGUUCUCUUGCUGGAGAGCACUCAGAGCAGCACCUCGGCACCUGGCCCAGCGUGGAGGGCGCUGGGAUGGCGGGGGCCACGGAGGACACCUGCAGAUGUCCCCGGGACGUGACGUCAAUCAUCCAGCAGCAUCUGUCCCUACGGGGCUCCUGCUGGCCUCCAUCUGAGGGAAGGUGGGAGCCAGCGCUGUGGGAGAGUGGGCAGUGAGGGCCACACAGCAGGUGGGGCUUGGCUUCCUCCUCUCCCCACAGGUUGGGGGGCUCACCUGUGACUGGGUCCGCUGCAUUCCUGGGGAGGCUGUAGGCACCAGGGUGUUACCUGGGCUUGAUUUCCAGUGACCUCUUGUGUCCAUCCCCAAUCUGGACACCAAGCUGUGAUAUUCCUUUCCCCUGCAAGUGAGUGAGGCCCCAAGACAUGCUGCAGAGUAUGCAGGUCUGGAGGCAGCCCUGCAGCCUUGGCUCCAGGGAGCAAAGCCUGGGGCUCCCCGGUCCUGGUGCUCGUGGCAGAAGCCUGUGACACGGGGGACACUGGGACAUUUGCUCUGGAGUAGGACCAGCGAGGGCAGGGUUCUCAGCCAGGACGGAGGGGUAAAGGGGGUGUCCCCGAGGCCCAAGGAAGCCGUGUCCCCAAGGCCCAAGGGACCAGAGAGGGAAUGGGCUGAGGGCCAGUUCAGGGUGGGAGUGGCUGCGAAGAUGAUGGGGCAGACUGCGUGUCUCCUACCCAAGGACAUAGCUCUGCUCUGAGCGGCAGCCCGUGCCUCCAGGGACCUCUGUGCACUGAGCGUAGAGUUGGUGGUCUCCUGGUGUCCUCCUCACAAAAUCCAGCCGCCUGUUCCACGAACCACAGGGUCCUCCCCUUGACCAGAGUCCUGCCAGGACCCAGACGGGGCCAUGGGGGCCAGUGGCCGCUGCUGCCCGUGGUUGUCUGCGGUCUCCGUAGACAGAGGCUUCCCAGGUCCCUGUGGCAUUCUAGUUUUAACACGUGCGUGUGUCCUGAUGACUCGAGCACUCGGCUCCUGGGGCUGUCCUCACCCCCGGUGCAGUGCGCGCCCCUGGGCUGUCAGAGCUCUCGCACAGCUGUUGGU
This is an RNA transcript of Neomonachus schauinslandi (Hawaiian monk seal), 3109 nucleotides long. It is a transcript of the gene named ZFP41 zinc finger protein, with no coding region annotated. The record is from RefSeq and is a predicted model, not a curated record. Lineage: Eukaryota; Metazoa; Chordata; Mammalia; Carnivora; Phocidae. The transcript has 4 exons.